UCUGCACAGUCCGAGAAUUCAAGAACGUCCCGGCAGCGCCAACUCCCAACUCCCCGCAAGGCACAAGGCAGUGCACUCCGGAGCACGGACAAACAGGGCCGAUCGAGCGAUGGAGGAGGAGAGGAGAGGAGAGGGGCCCGGAUGAAGAGCUCCCCUGCCAUGGACCCUGAGGCCGCGGUCGCCCGGGGCACCCCGCUGGAGAACACGGAGGGGAGGCGGGGAGAGGGGAAGAAGAGGCUGCCGUGGCGGAUGACCCUGAGCCUGGCGUACCAGAGCCUCGGGGUGGUGUACGGCGACCUGAGCACUAUAGUACAACACCAACAGUCUUGGAUGAAUCGAGAUCAAGUUGAAUGAAUGAAUGAAUGAAUGAAAUGCUAGUUGAGUACUACAGUACGUACUGUAUUUCCGUGUGGGAUGCGUCGGUAGGAAAUGUCUGUCAAUCAGUCAUUCAAUCAAAUGCAGGCUUGUUUUCCACUACUCUGUCGGUGUCAAAUGCAGAUAUCUAGCAGCAGCUACUGCUCGGACAAGGAGUCUGAUUGCUCCCAGGGAAACCGCGGCGAGGAGGCCAACGUCGGAGUCGUCUGCAUCGUGGAAGCUCGGGUCGGCCGCGGACCGGCGAGCAACCCCCAGAACUUGUAUGCAAAGGCCUAAUUCAAUGUGACUGUUUCAGUGGACUGGUUCAGACUUUUGUUUUGUCCAAUGCAAAGAAGAAGGGAGAAGAUCAACGACAAGCUUCGGGUUUUGCACAAGCUGGUGCCCAACGGAACCAAAGUGGAUCUCAGCACUAUGCUCGAGGAGGCAGUCCUCUACGUCAAGUUUUUGAAGCUACAGAUCAAGGUUGUGAUGACCUAUCCGGAUCGGGCCGUAGAGCCGAGCCACUCAGGAGUAGCAGGGUUGCGCGUGGAAAAAGUAUCAUCGCUUCAACACAUCUGCUCACAAUGUGUGCGUUCCUCUGUUGAUGAUAUGUAUAUAAGUGACAAGAAUUCGUUGCCACUGUGUUGUAUGUAUUCCUUUGUCUAGAUGAUUGGGCAGUGGGAGUUGUGCAUAGUAGCAUACAGUAUUUUUCCUUUUCCUAAUCCAUCGCAAGGAGCUUCAUAUUAAGUUUGUUGUUAGCUUCCCCAGGAAAAAAAAGUUUGUUGUUAGCUUCCCCAGGAAAAAAAAGUUUGUUGUUAGCUGUAGCCUGCUUCAAGUGUGUAUAGAUUCAUGUAUCAAGUUUCUUCAGAUGUUCAUAGACUACUGGAUGUAGAUUUCUUACCAAGUGAUCAUCUUGGUAAGCUACCAACAAAAAUUGCAAUCAAGGAUGUAUAUUUCUUAAUACUCAUCAUGUUAUAAUACUCCUAGCUUUGCCACUUUGAAGACAUUUCAUAAAACCGGGCCUUAACCACUUUGGAUGUGGGUUUAUGCCAUUUCUGUUUGGUAGGAGUUUGUUAGCUAUAUGCACUAAAAUUAUGUCAGCUGGCGACGCCUCUGCAUUGUCGUCGACUGAAUUAGGGGAGCAGCAUGCGACGAUUCUAGCGUUAGCAUUGGGCAUGCGCUGGUUCAGACUUAGGAGAGGUUCAGACUGCAGUGCGGUUUAGACUUAGGAGAGGUUCAGACUGCGGUGCUACACAACUGCGUGAACAGCCCUUCUGCAGGUAUGCAAGCUCAUCCUCUUCUCUUAUUUCAUACUGAUGCAUAGGAGAGGUACCAAUCUGGAGAUUGGUUUCUCGAUCAAGGGAAUGACUAGAACAUCUAUUUUGGGAGUGAUGACUUCCAGAUUUACCUUUGUUAUGUUAACUGUAUGGGAUCUUGACCCAAAUUUCCAUAAAUAUACACUUGCUAUGUUAACUGUAUAGUGUUGACCCAAAGUUGGAAACUUUUCUUAGUCGUAUGUUGGAUGGCCAGAUCUAUGAAAACUUGCAGAUUCACCUUUGCUAUUUGGAGUGAAUUUUUUUCUGUAGAAGUUAUAUGGUUUACACUUUAUACCCUUAUUCUCAAAAACAAUUCUCUUGUAAUUGCAGGUGGGGAAUGAACCAGAGUCAGACUUGAUGUUCUGGGAAGAAUUUUGCUAUUUCAUCUCUAAAAAGUCCGAAAGCGCAAUUCAUGAGUUAUCUGACUCGGUUUGGAUAUAGUUUUUGCACAGGUGAAGUACGAAGCCAAGUAUGAAGCUAUGAAGCGUAUGAACAAAGAGUAGCAUAUGUGUUGUAAUAGUAGGCAGUAGUAGGCAUAUCUGGGUUGUGGGGUAGUGUAAAGAUUGUAAUAGACAAAUUUAAUGUUGGUUUGGACGAAUUUUA
Molecule: long non-coding RNA, 2273 nt
Organism: Hordeum vulgare subsp. vulgare (domesticated barley)
Lineage: Eukaryota; Viridiplantae; Streptophyta; Magnoliopsida; Poales; Poaceae
Exons: 6
Source: RefSeq, a predicted model, not a curated record